GGUAGUAAAAGUCGUAACAAGGUUUCCGUAGGUGAACCUGCGGAAGGAUCAUUACCAGAAAGGAACCUGUUUCCUUGGGGCUCGGCCCCAUCUCUUCACCCCGCGUCCACUUACCUUUGUUGCUUUGGCGGGUUACGGGCGUCCCCUUCCUCCGGCGGCGCCCCCCGCCCGAAGCCCAGUUAAUUCCGUUUUUCAGCGUCGUCCGAGUUAUAAACCAAUCGUCAAAAACUUUCAACAACGGAUCUCUUGGUUCUG
This 255-nucleotide unclassified non-coding RNA is filed under the name plant metagenome. Its description in RNAcentral is "partial contains small subunit ribosomal RNA, internal transcribed spacer 1, and 5.8S ribosomal RNA". The stretch from base 1 to 54 matches the Rfam family "Eukaryotic small subunit ribosomal RNA", at positions 1778 to 1831 of the family's 1831-position model. The record is from RNAcentral.